GACGAACGCUGGCGGCGUGCUUAACACAUGCAAGUCGAACGAUGAAGAAAAGAAUCGAAGCUUCGGCAGAAAUUCAUUUCGGAUUAGUGGCAGACGGGUGAGUAACGCGUGAGCAACCUACCUCUUACAAAGGGAUAGCCUCGGGAAACCGGGAUUAAUACCAUAUAACAUUGUGACGAAGCAUUUCGAUGCAAUCAAAGCUACGGCGGUAAGAGAUGGGCUCGCGUCCCAUUAACCGGAUGGUGAGGUAACGGCUCACCAUAGUGACGAUGGGUAACCGGCCUGAGAGAGUGAACGGUCACACUGGAACUGAGACACGGUCCAGACUCCUACGGGAGGCAGCAGUGGGGAAUAUUGCACAAUGGAGGGAACUCUGAUGCAGCGACGACGCGUGAGUGAUGAAGGAAUUCGUUUCGUAAAACUCUGUUCUAUGGGAAGAAAAGGACUGUACCAUAGGAGAAAGCUCCGGCUAAAUACGUG
RNAcentral lists this ribosomal RNA (480 nucleotides) under uncultured bacterium. RNAcentral's name for it is "partial 16S ribosomal RNA". It matches the Rfam family "Bacterial small subunit ribosomal RNA", at positions 28 to 507 of the family's 1533-position model. The record is from RNAcentral.